This 7222-nucleotide long non-coding RNA is filed under the name Lactuca sativa (garden lettuce). RNAcentral's name for it is "long non-coding RNA (LSAT_LNC000570)". Lineage: Eukaryota; Viridiplantae; Streptophyta; Magnoliopsida; Asterales; Asteraceae. The record is from RNAcentral.
UAUGUUAUGUGUAUGCUAUGUGUUGUACUGCAUUAUUUCUAUGUGAUUUAUGCUGUGCAUGAUUACAGAGUUGGAACCGGAAGGUUCCUAGAGUUAGAACCUGAGGGUUCACAGAGUUGGGUGCACGGACCCAUAGAGUUAUAGCCUCGAGUGGCUAAUAUGUGUUUUAUGUGUGGUAUUUUGGGGAACUCACUAAGCUUCGUGCUUACAGUGUUAGUGUUGUUGUUUCAGGUACUAGCGAUGACCGUGGGAAGGCGCCGGCUUGAUCUGUACACACGCAGGGGACUUUGAUAUAUUUAUGUGAUCUUGGGAUUUGUAUGAUACAGAUUGGAAUUUGAAACUUAAUGUUUUUAUGAAAUUAAAUGAGAAAUGUUUUUUUUAUAUUGCGAAAAAUUAUUUUGAAAUUCACGGUGUUACAAGUUGGUAUCAGAGCCUUGGUUUGAGGGAUUCGAGUACACCUUCGGGCGUAUUUGAACUCAAACUGAGGAUUUGAGAUGUAUUUUCAAAAAGAGUAAAAGAUUUUUGAAAAACGCAGAGCAAGAGAUGUGUGUACGAUCAGUCAGCGCCCGAACGGUGAUUUCCCAAAAUACCUUUAUAUAUUAUGUGAUAUUGAUAUUGAUAUGAUGUAUCCGCAUGCUAGAGUAGGCUAGGUAUUGCUAUUAGGACUAGAGUGGCCUGAUUUGUGAUGCCUUAGCCUAGGGAGAGGUGAGCUGCUAUGAGAUGCUUGAGAGUGAGUAGGUAGCAGCGAGGGACUUAUGAGAGAUCUAUUAGAGAGUGGUCUAUGCAUGAUAGAGUACUUGAGACCUGGGAUCCAAAGAGAAGGACUUGGAGUGUAUUCUGGUGCGGUGCGGACAGUAGUAUUGGGCCCGUACUACUGGAAGCACCGGAGCGGUGUGCAGCCCAAGUCAGAAUCUUUGGAAUGCCAAGAAUCAAGGAGGAAAGAGUUGUCGAGUGUGAGCAUACUCGUGUGGAUUCUAAUUUAUCGUAUGUUGUAUUUCAGAGGUAGAUCAUGGUGAGGACACGUUUGAUGCCCGAGAGCAGUGGUACCAGUGAGGAGGAGAUCCGCCGGAUCAUUCAGGAGGAGGUGGCUGCGGCCAUCAGGGCAGAGAUACCGGAGAUGUUUGGGUCUAUAAAGACCACAUUGAUUGAGACGUUUGAUGAGCGUUAUGCCGCUCUUUCUGAGGCUGCUGCUGCAGCGGCUACCGCAGCGAUUGCUGCUGCGAGGCCGCAGGGUGGGGAUGCGUUGCUGUUCCGUGAGUUCAGCAACACAAAACCACCAGAGUUUGAUGGUACUCAGGAUCCGGUGGCAGCUAUGAGGUGGAUAUCUGAUAUUGAGGGGUGUUUCUUCACUUGCUCGUCUCCUGAGCAUUUGAAGGUACGGUUCGCGCUGAACCAGCUUCGCUUGGGAGCGAAGGACUGGUGGAAGUUUGUGACGGCGCAUUAUUCGCCUGCUGAGCUUUCUGCGGUGACCUGGGAGAGGUUCACCACUAUGUUUCGGGAUGAGUACGUUCCCCAGGUGGAGAGGGAGCGUUUAGCACAGGAGUUUCUGACCCUCAAGCAGGGUACUGAGUCUGUUACAGCGAUCACGAGGAUGUUCCACGAGAGGGCGAUGUUCUGCCCUGAGCACGUGUCCACUGAGCAGGCACGUAUGAGCCGCUACUUGAGCAUCUUGAGGAGGGAUAUUCGGGAGUUCGCUGCGAACUCCUCGUACCGGACAUUUGCCGAGCUUCAGGCAAAUGCCCGGAAGAGGGAGAUUGAGCUUGAGACCCAGGCCAGGGAGGAGGCAGAGUCUCAGGGGAGGGAUCGGCGACCGGCGUUGUCGCAGCCGGCCGCCAAGCGGGCCAAGCCUGCUGAUCCCAGACCAGGGAGCCAGAAGGGCCGCACUUGCGGAAAGUGCGGCAAGGGUCAUGACGGAGUCUGCCGAGCAGGGUCUUGCUACAAAUGUGGCAAGGAGGGGCACAUGGCCAAGGACUGCCCCAAGGGGUUUGCAGUGUGCUUUCACUGCAACCAGACCGGACACCGGAAGGCCGAGUGUCCGCAGUUGCGCGGAGCAUCUCAGGGGUCUGCUCCUGCCGCCACCAGAGUUACAGAGAGUCGGCCUGUGAAGGCCGAGACGCCGAGAGCUCGAGGGAGAGCCUUCCAGCUGACUGCGGAGGAGGUCCGCGCUGCGCCCGAUGUUGUGGCUGGUAUGUUUCCUUUCGUGUAUUUAUUUUGACAUAUGAUGUUAUGCUUAUAUUAUGUUAUGUGUAGGUACUUUUCUUGUGAAUUCCGUACCUGCUUUAGUGUUAUUUGACUCGGGUGCGAGUCGGUCUUUUGUAUCUUUGGCCUUUAGCCAGCAUAUCAGUGCUAGUCGUGAGGCACUGAGUCGGCCUCUGAGAGUCUCCAUAGCUGAUGAUAGAGUGAUUUGUGCCACAGAGGUUUUCCGGGGAUGUGUGUUAGAGAUCUUCGGGAUUGAGUUUCCGAUUGAUCUGAUUCCUAUUGCGAUGGGUGAUGUUUGUGUCAUUGUGGGCAUGGACUGGUUGAGCCGAUUCGGCGCGAUUAUCGACUGUGAGCGUCAGCUGGUGACUAUACGAGACCCUAGUGGGGGAGUUCUUUCGGUGUACGGUGAGGGUACACGUUCGGGAUCAGCCUUUUGUUCGGCCGCCAGGGCGAGGCAGUGUCUACAGCAGGGCUGUAAGGGUUUUGUGGCGUAUGUGAUGGAUACGCGAGCGACUUCCGAGAGACCGAGUUCAGUUGGGGAGGUACCGGUGGUAUGUGAGUUUCCAGAUGUCUUUCCCGAGGAGCUGCCGGGAGUACCUCCUGUGAGGCAAGUAGAGUUUGGUAUUGAUUUGGUUCCGGGGGCUGCGCCUAUAGCUAAGGUGCCUUAUCGUCUUGCACCUCCAGAGAUGCAAGAGUUAUCCUCGCAGCUUCAGGAGUUGCUGGGGAAGGGAUUUAUUCGGCCGAGCAGCUCGCCGUGGGGAGCACCUAUUCUGUUUGUCAAGAAGAAGGAUGGUUCACACCGGAUGUGUAUUGAUUACCGGGAGUUGAACAAGCUGACGGUCAAGAACCGUUACCCGUUGCCGAGGAUCGACGAUUUAUUUGAUCAGUUGCAGGGAGCAUCUUGGUUUUCCAAGAUCGAUUUGAGGUCGGGAUAUCAUCAGGUGAGGGUGCGAGAUGAGGACGUCCAGAAGACAGCUUUCAGGACGCGUUAUGGGCAUUAUGAGUUUGUGGUGAUGCCUUUUGGGCUCACCAAUGCCCCGGCGGUGUUCAUGGAUCUCAUGAACAGGGUAUGUAGGCCGAUGUUGGAUCGGUCGGUGAUUGUAUUUAUCGAUGAUAUUCUGGUGUAUUCGAGAUCUAGGGAGCAGCAUGAGGAACAUUUGAGGGAGGUCCUUGGGGUACUGAGAUCGGAGAAGCUUUAUGCAAAGUUCUCCAAGUGUGAUUUCUGGUUACGGGAGGUCCAGUUCCUAGGACAUCUCGUUAACCAGGAAGGGAUUCUGGUCGAUCCGGCCAAGGUUGAGGCGGUGAUGGGUUGGGAGGUGCCAAAGUCACCCUCUGAGAUCAGGAGCUUCCUUGGAUUAGCAGGGUAUUAUCGGAGAUUUAUCAAGGAUUUCUCCAAGAUCGCAGUGCCGCUCACCAGGUUGACCCGGAAGGGUGUUGCAUUCUCAUGGGGUCCCGAGCAGCAGACCUCCUUUGAGACACUUCGCCAGAGGUUGUGCGAAGCCCCGGUAUUAGCUCUCCCGGAAGGGAUGGAGGAUUUUGUAGUAUAUUGUGAUGCAUCGAUUUUGGGGUUGGGUGCGGUGUUGAUGCAGAGGGGUCAUGUGAUAGCAUAUGCAUCGAGGCAGCUGAAGCCUCAUGAGACAAGAUAUCCCACGCAUGAUCUAGAGUUGGGGGCAGUAGUGUUCGCCCUCAAGAUUUGGCGCCACUACUUAUAUGGGGUUCGAUGUACGAUAUACACGGACCAUAAGAGCUUGAAGUACUUGAUGGAUCAGCCCAAUCUAAACAUGCGUCAGAGGAGGUGGUUAGAUGUGGUCAAGGAUUAUGAUUGUGAGAUCCUGUACCACCCGGGCAAGGCCAACGUGGUGGCCGAUGCGUUGAGCCGCAGGGCGGAGAGCACUCCAUUGCGAGAUGUAUGUUUGAGAUUGACCAUGAUAGCUCCGGUAUUGGAUGCCAUUCGUGGGGCACAGGCCGAGGCUGUGCAGCCGGAGAUGCAGAAGAGGGAACGGGUCGUUGGUUUGGUUUCAGAAUUCGUUACGGAUGGGCGAGGGCUUAUGACUUUUCAGGGUCGGAUUUGGGUACCGUUCGUGGGUGGUACGCGCACUUCCUUGAUGGAGGAGGCUCAUCGGUCGAAAUUUUCGAUCCAUCCGGGGGCUACGAAGAUGUAUUUGGAUUUGAGGAGAGAGUAUUGGUGGCCCUGUAUGAAGAGGGACGUCGCAUGGUUCGUUGAGAGGUGCUUGACCUGUCGUAGGGUUAAGGCCGAGCACCAGAGACCACAUGGCAAGUUGCAGCCAUUGGAGGUUCCCGAAUGGAAAUGGGAACAGAUCACUAUGGAUUUCAUCACCAAAUUGCCGAGAACUGCCAGGGGAGUUGAUGCAAUUUGGGUGAUUGUGGAUAGGUUGACGAAGAGCGCUCACUUCCUUGCCAUCAGUGAGAGUUCUUCAGCAGAGAAGUUGGCAGAGUUAUAUGUGAGAGAAGUGGUAUCUCGGCAUGGGGUGCCGAUCUCGAUUGUUUCAGACCGUGAUGUGCGCUUUACUUCCAGAUUCUGGAAGAAAUUUCAUGAGGAGUUGGGUACUAGAUUGCAUUUUAGUACCGCAUAUCAUCCCCAGACAGACGGUCAGAGUGAGCGGACGAUUCAGACGCUUGAGGACAUGCUUCGAGCAUGUGUGUUGGAUUUUGGGGGUAGCUGGGAUGCGUAUUUACCCUUGGCAGAGUUUUCCUACAACAACAGCCAUCAUUCGAGCAUUGGUAUGCCACCCUUUGAGCUGUUGUAUGGUAGGAGGUGUCGGACCCCCAUUUGUUGGGGAGAGGUUGGGCAGAGAGUGAUGGGCAGUACAGAGAUCGUGCUUCAGACGACAGAGCAGAUUCAGCAGGUCAGACAGAGGUUAUUGACCACCCAGAGCCGACAGAAGAGUUAUGCAGACAGACGCCGGUCCGAGCUUGAGUUUCAGGUCGGCGACUUCGUUCUCCUGAAGGUCUCUCCUUGGAAAGGAGUGAUUCGAUUCAGGAAGAGGGGCAAGUUGGGGCCCCGGUAUAUUGGGCCAUUUCGUGUGAUUGCAAGGAUAGGUCGGGUAGCCUAUCGGUUGGAGUUGCCAGCGGAGUUGGGACAGAUCCACGACACUUUUCAUGUGUCGCAAUUGAGGAAGUGCAUAGCCGAUGAGUCGGCAGUGGUUCCAUUAGAGGAUAUUCAGGUGGAUGCGAGUCUGAAUUAUGCCGAGAGACCAGUAGCCAUCAGAGAUCGAAAGAUCAAGGUUCUGAGGAACAAGGAGGUACCUCUUGUGUUGGUUCAGUGGCAACACCGGAAGGGAUCAAAGAUGACCUAGGAGCCGGAGCGUGAGAUGCAAGAGCAGCAUCCGGAGCAUUUUUCGGAGCGAGACUUCGAGGGAGAAGUCUAGUUCUAGUGGGGGAGAGUUGUAACAGCCCGGAUUUUCAGGUAUUUUAUUGUUUUGGUUUUUUUUGGUGUUUUGAAAGGGGACUCGGCGAGUUGGAGCUCAGACUCGCCGAGUAGGGUCGCGAUUCUGGACGCGGGAUUCGUCUGGACUCGGCGAGUCCAGGAUAUGGACUCGGCGAGUCCGCGCUGUUUAAUGAAACCCUAAUUUCUCGGGUUUGGGACCUAUUUAAAGGGCCUUAUGGCCGUCAUUUGUACCCAACAGUCCAUAGAGAGAAACCCUAGAGUGCUUUAGCGAUUUGAGAGAGAAAGGAAGCAUUUCUUGACAUUUGUGUGUUGUUUAGCAAAGAAGAGGGAGGUUCUAGCCAAGAGGAGGCAAAGGAGACUGCUAUUCGGUGGAUUUGAAGCUUAGCCCUUCAAUCUAAAGGUAUGAUUUCGGCUCAUCUCCUGUUUUGUGAAGUAUAAUUGAUUUUAGGGUUUCUUGUGACCUUGUUGAGUUGAUUGGAUGGCCAAAUAGUCCCUUGCUAGUGAUGAGACUUCGGAUCUGGAUCCAUAGAGGUCCAGAGAGCCUCAUUCAUCAAGCUUUAUAGAGAACAAUGGAGGUUAUGACCUUGAGUAGUGAGAUUUGUUGAUAAUUCUUCAUAUAUGGUCAUAUAGAGGUUGUUUAUGCACCAAGUCUGGGGCUUUACGUGGUGAAUCAGUCUAGGAGGGCCAGAUCUAUGAAUUGUUGGAGUAGAUCUGACCUUAGAAGCAAGUUUGAGUGAUUGCAUGGCAUGGACUCGCCGAGUCCGAUGAGCAGACUCGGCGAGUAGCUUGAAGAUUGCCUUGGACCGGCCAGUCAGUGGUCCAGUCGAGUCAUGGGUUGACUCAGUGAGUCAAGGUGAGUUAGAGAGGGUUGUCAGUGGGCUGAGUCGAGCUGGGACUCGCCGAGUCGUUUUUGAGACUCGGCGAGUUGAGUCGGGGUGGCCCCACGAUUUCUGCAAGGUGAAACUCGUCGAGUCGGGGGGGGAGUACUCGACGUUUAGAUAGGGAAUCCUAGAGAGUUGGUGAGAACGUCUAGACUCGCCGAGUUGCCGUGUGCACUCGCCGAGUCCGGUCAAAGUUGACCGUUGACCGUUGACCUGUGUUGACUUCUUAGGGAUAGUCAACCUUAGAGAUAAAAAGUGUUAAUUAGAGUCAUGUGAUGUUAUAGGAGAAUUAGAGCUCGGAGGAUCGAGCGCGAGGGAUUUCCAGGAUUCGUGAGAUACCGAGACACGCGAGGUGAGUCUUCUCAUUAUACUUUACCUUGAUUAGGUAAUCAGAGCUAUGUGUCAGUGUAUGUAUGUUAUGUGUAUGCUAUGUGUUGUACUGCAUUAUUUCUAUGAGAUUUAUGUUGUGCAUGACUACAGAGUUGGAACCGGAAGGUUCCUAGAGUUAGAACCUGAGGGUUCACAGAGUUGGGUGUACGGACCCAUAGAGUUAUAGCCUUGGGUGGCUAAUAUGUGUUUUAUGUGUGGUAUUUUGGGGAAUUCACUAAGCUUCAUGCUUACAGUGUUAGUGUUGUUGUUUCAGGUACUAGCGAUGACCGUGGGAAGGCGCCGACUUGAUCUGUACACACGCAGGGGACUUUUGAUACAUUUAUAUGAUCUUGGGAUUUGUAUG